AAGCAACCUGCGGUGGACAGAGAGGAGCUUCUGACAGCGUCUGCCGUCAUGACCAGCAGCUGUCUGGAGACGGGCAAAGGGACACAUCUCCGCUUCGCUUGUGUGCUCUUUUUGUCUGGCAUUAAUUAGCAUGACUAAUAAGGGCCGGAUAAACAGAGGCGGCCGGAGGCUGUGGCAUUGCUGGAAUUCAAAUAAAAGUUCCCAAGAUGCUGUGUGAGAUUGGACCUGCCCACGCUUACCUUUCCAGCGUACGGUGCCACACGGUCAGCGAUGGCCGCCUGCCUGAUGCCUCCACGCCAGGAUUUACAGUGCGACGCCUUCUAAUCGCGACCCAGACGCUUGUGGAGGAUCAGAGUCCCAUCCGAGGGCCCUUGGGCAUUUUCGCCGUGAUGAUCGAUCUCUGGACACUUAGCCUGUCAGCCGGGCGUCGGCGUGAUGCAUCACGAAGCCGUUAGCAGCGCCGUGCUGGAGUGGAUUAUGCUGAAGGAAGCUCCAGAUCUCUCCAGUCAGCAGAAAGAGGGUGAUGGCGACACCUUCCAUGUGCCAAGAGCCAGCGUCUCUCAUACAGGGUGAAAUCGCUAUCGACACGCCGCCAAGGCCGAGUCCCGAGAUUUGCAUCGCAAGAACGUUUGUGCAAAAAACGCCAGUCCCAUCCAAGUCCACUUUAAACCCAGGACUACAUUUUUACACUUUUAAUAAGUAAAUAUAUAUAUUACUAGUUCUACAUUCUUGGUAAAGUAUGUCAGGCUACUGCUGACUCUUCGAAGGUAUGAAAUUCUCACAUGGUGGAGGAUUUGAGAGAGAA
Brienomyrus brachyistius is the source of this 805-nucleotide long non-coding RNA. RefSeq lists it as uncharacterized. The transcript has 3 exons. NCBI's taxonomy places the organism in Eukaryota, Metazoa, Chordata, Actinopteri, Osteoglossiformes, Mormyridae. The record is from RefSeq and is a predicted model, not a curated record.